This 505-nucleotide ribosomal RNA is filed under the name uncultured bacterium. Its description in RNAcentral is "bacterial SSU rRNA". It matches the Rfam family "Bacterial small subunit ribosomal RNA", at positions 32 to 542 of the family's 1533-position model. The record is from RNAcentral.
AAUCAACGCUGGCGGCGUGCCUCAGACAUGCAAGUCGAACGAUUAAAGCUCCCUUCGGGGAGUGCAUAGAGUGGCGCACGGGUGAGUAACACGUAAGUAAUCUACCUUCGAGUGGGGAAUAACAUCGGGAAACCGAUGCUAAUACCGCAUAAUGCAGCGGCAUCGCAAGAUGACAGUUGUUAAAGGAGCAAUUCGCUUGAAGAGGAGCUUGCGGCAGAUUAGCUAGUUGGUAAGGUAAUGGCUUACCAAGGCUACGAUCUGUAACCGGUCUAAGAGGACGGUCGGUCACACUGACACUGAAUAACGGGUCAGACUCCUACGGGAGGCAGCAGUCGGGAAUUUUGGGCAAUGGGCGAAAGCCUGACCCAGCAACGCCGCGUGAAGGAUGAAGUAUUUCGGUAUGUAAACUUCGAAAGAAUGGGAAGAAAACAAUGACGGUACCAUUUAUAAGGUCCGGCUAACUACGUGCCAGCAGCCGCGGUAAUACGUAGCGACCAAGCGUUUC